Molecule: ribosomal RNA, 111 nt
Filed under: uncultured bacterium
Lineage: Bacteria
Description: partial 16S ribosomal RNA
Rfam family: Bacterial small subunit ribosomal RNA
Source: RNAcentral
CCUGAGCCUUGUACACACCGCCCGUCAAGCCACGAAAGAUCGGGGGGGGCCAAGUCGCCCCGGCUAACCGCAAGGAGGCCAGCGCCUAACCCUCAACGGUCAAUUGGGACU